Molecule: small nucleolar RNA, 70 nt
Organism: Zerene cesonia (dogface butterfly)
Lineage: Eukaryota; Metazoa; Arthropoda; Insecta; Lepidoptera; Pieridae
Source: RefSeq, a predicted model, not a curated record
AUAAAAUGAUGAACAUAUCAGUUCUGCUUCUGAUAAAUUUGAAGAAAACUUUUACCCACAAAACUGAAGU